CAGUAGCCGCGGGAAUACGUAGGGUGCGAGCGUUAAUCGGAAUUACUGGGCGUAAAGCGUGCGCAGGCGGUUGUGUAAGGCAGGUGUGAAAUCCCCGGGCUUAACCUGGGAACUGCGCUUGUGACUGCACAGCUAGAGUAUGGCAGAGGGGGGUGGAAUUCCACGUGUAGCAGUGAAAUGCGUAGAGAUGUGGAGGAACACCGAUGGCGAAGGCAGCCCCCUGGGCCAAUACUGACGCUCAUGCACGAAAGCGUGGGGAGCAAACAGGAUUAGAUACCCCCGUAGUCCCUGUCUCUUAUAC
RNAcentral lists this ribosomal RNA (301 nucleotides) under uncultured bacterium. Its description in RNAcentral is "partial 16S ribosomal RNA". It matches the Rfam family "Bacterial small subunit ribosomal RNA", at positions 509 to 807 of the family's 1533-position model. The record is from RNAcentral.